GGGCGAAUGGUUUAGUGGUAUAAUACUCCCUUAGCAAGUUUCUUCAGAAAGAUCCUCGCCACCUCUGGGAGUGGUCCAGGGUUCGAUUCCCUGUUCGUCCA
Molecule: transfer RNA, 101 nt
Filed under: Fusarium solani
Lineage: Eukaryota; Fungi; Ascomycota; Sordariomycetes; Hypocreales; Nectriaceae
Also listed under: 1 other name
Rfam family: tRNA
About the family: Transfer RNA (tRNA) molecules are approximately 80 nucleotides in length. Their secondary structure includes four short double-helical elements and three loops (D, anti-codon, and T loops). Further hydrogen bonds mediate the characteristic L-shaped molecular structure. tRNAs have two regions of fundamental functional importance: the anti-codon, which is responsible for specific mRNA codon recognition, and the 3' end, to which the tRNAs corresponding amino acid is attached (by aminoacyl-tRNA synthetases). tRNAs cope with the degeneracy of the genetic code in two manners: having more than one tRNA (with a specific anti-codon) for a particular amino acid; and 'wobble' base-pairing, i.e. permitting non-standard base-pairing at the 3rd anti-codon position.
Source: Rfam by way of RNAcentral